Molecule: ribosomal RNA, 445 nt
Filed under: uncultured bacterium
Lineage: Bacteria
Description: partial 16S ribosomal RNA
Rfam family: Bacterial small subunit ribosomal RNA
Source: RNAcentral
GUGAGGAAUAUUGCGCAAUGGAGGCAACUCUGACGCAGCCAUGCCGCGUGCAGGAAGAAGGCGCUACGCGUUGUAAACUGCUUUUAACCGGGAAGAAACCCCAGGACGUGUCCUGGGUUGACGGUACCGGAGGAAUAAGCACCGGCUAACUUCGUGCCAGCAGCCGCGGUAAUGCGAAGGGUGCAAGCGUUAUCCGGAUUCAUUGGGUUUAAAGGGUGCGUAGGCGGAGCGUUAAGUCAGUGGUGAAAUCCUGCAGCUUAACUGUAGACUUGCCAUUGAUACUGGCGCUCUUGAGUGCGCUUGAAGUGGGCGGAAUGUGCCGUGUAGCGGUGAAAUGCUUAGAUAUGGCACAGAACACCAAUUGCGAAGGCAGCUCACUAAGGCGAUACUGACGCUGAGGCACGAAAGCGUGGGGAUCGAACAGGAUUAGAAACCCUGGUAGUCC